AANCGACUCUCGGCAACGGAUAUCUCGGCUCACGCAUUGAUGAAGAACGUAGCAAAAUGCGAUACUUGGUGUGAAUUGCAGAAUCCCGUGAACCAUCGAGUUUUUGAACGCAAGUUGCGCCCGAAGCCAUUCGGCCGAGGGCACGUCUGCCUGGGCGUCACGCA
Molecule: ribosomal RNA, 164 nt
Filed under: Atractylodes japonica
Lineage: Eukaryota; Viridiplantae; Streptophyta; Magnoliopsida; Asterales; Asteraceae
Description: 5.8S ribosomal RNA
Rfam family: 5.8S ribosomal RNA
About the family: 5.8S ribosomal RNA (5.8S rRNA) is a component of the large subunit of the eukaryotic ribosome.
Source: RNAcentral